CGGGGUGUGGCGCAGUUGGCUAGCGCACCAGUAUGGGGUACUGGGGGUCAUCGGUUCGAGUCCGGUCACCCCGA
This 74-nucleotide transfer RNA is filed under the name Chloroflexota bacterium. RNAcentral's name for it is "Chloroflexi bacterium tRNA-Pro". It matches the Rfam family "tRNA". Rfam says of the family: Transfer RNA (tRNA) molecules are approximately 80 nucleotides in length. Their secondary structure includes four short double-helical elements and three loops (D, anti-codon, and T loops). Further hydrogen bonds mediate the characteristic L-shaped molecular structure. tRNAs have two regions of fundamental functional importance: the anti-codon, which is responsible for specific mRNA codon recognition, and the 3' end, to which the tRNAs corresponding amino acid is attached (by aminoacyl-tRNA synthetases). tRNAs cope with the degeneracy of the genetic code in two manners: having more than one tRNA (with a specific anti-codon) for a particular amino acid; and 'wobble' base-pairing, i.e. permitting non-standard base-pairing at the 3rd anti-codon position. RNAcentral also lists the same sequence under 1 other name. The record is from RNAcentral. Lineage: Bacteria; Bacillati; Chloroflexota.